RNAcentral lists this ribosomal RNA (427 nucleotides) under uncultured bacterium. RNAcentral describes it as "partial 16S ribosomal RNA". It matches the Rfam family "Bacterial small subunit ribosomal RNA", at positions 355 to 774 of the family's 1533-position model. The record is from RNAcentral.
UAGGGAAUCUUCCGCAAUGGGCGAAAGCCUGACGGAGCAACGCCGCGUGAGUGAUGAAGGUCUUCGGAUUGUAAAACUCUGUUAUUAGGGAAGAACAAACGUGUAAGUAACUGUGCACGUCUUGACGGUACCUAAUCAGAAAGCCACGGCUAACUACGUGCCAGCAGCCGCGGUAAUACGUAGGUGGCAAGCGUUAUCCGGAAUUAUUGGGCGUAAAGCGCGCGUAGGCGGUUUUUUAAGGCUGAUGUGAAAGCCCACGGCUCAACCGUGGAGGGUCAUUGGAAACUGGAAAACUUGAGUGCAGAAGAGGAAAGUGGAAUUCCAUGUGUAGCGGUGAAAUGCGCAGAGAUAUGGAGGAACACCAGUGGCGAAGGCGACUUUCUGGUCUGUAACUGACGCUGAUGUGCGAAAGCGUGGGGAUCAAACA